CCUACGGGUGGCAGCAGUGGGGAAUAUUGGACAAUGGGGGGAACCCUGAUCCAGCCAUGCCGCGUGUGUGAAGAAGGCCCUCGGGUUGUAAAGCACUUUCAGUGAGGAAGAACGCCUGGUGGUUAAUACCCAACAGGAAAGACAUCACUCACAGAAGAAGCACCGGCUAACUCCGUGCCAGCAGCCGCGGUAAUACGGAGGGUGCGAGCGUUAAUCGGAAUUACUGGGCGUAAAGCGCGCGUAGGUGGCUUGAUAAGCCGGUUGUGAAAGCCCCGGGCUCAACCUGGGAACGGCAUCCGGAACUGUCAAGCUAGAGUGCAGGAGAGGAAGGUAGAAUUCCCGGUGUAGCGGUGAAAUGCGUAGAGAUCGGGAGGAAUACCAGUGGCGAAGGCGGCCUUCUGGACUGACACUGACACUGAGGUGCGAAAGCGUGGGUAGCAAACAGGAUUAGAUACCCGUGUAGUC
This 465-nucleotide ribosomal RNA is filed under the name Vreelandella stevensii. RNAcentral's name for it is "partial 16S ribosomal RNA". It matches the Rfam family "Bacterial small subunit ribosomal RNA", at positions 338 to 795 of the family's 1533-position model. The record is from RNAcentral. Lineage: Bacteria; Pseudomonadati; Pseudomonadota; Gammaproteobacteria; Oceanospirillales; Halomonadaceae.